This 206-nucleotide ribosomal RNA is filed under the name uncultured bacterium. RNAcentral describes it as "partial 16S ribosomal RNA". It matches the Rfam family "Bacterial small subunit ribosomal RNA", at positions 568 to 774 of the family's 1533-position model. The record is from RNAcentral.
AGCGUAGGCGGCGUGGUAAGUCAGAUGUGAAAUCCCGGGGCUCAACCCCGGAACUGCAUCCGAUACUGCCGUGCUAGAGCAAUGGAGGGGUAGCCGGAAUUCUCGGUGUAGCAGUGAAAUGCGUGGAUAUCGAGAGGAACACUCGUGGCGAAGGCGGGCUACUGGACAGUGACUGACGCUGAGACCCGAAAGCGUGGGAGCAAACA